CAUAAUUCUUUUCACUGCUUCAGAUUUUGAUUAUUUAUUGUUCUGUUGACACAAGCACCACAACAGUUAGUUAUGUUUCUUGUCCUGCAGGCUCAUAUUUACACCAUUAGUAGCUUCACUCAAUUUGGGAUGACAAAAUCGCCAGCCUAAACCACCCAUGAUGGAUCUAAAGUGUCACCUGUCAUAUGGACAGUUUCAGAAAGCACAGCUCUGCUGACAGCCAAAACAUUUGAUAAGAUUCUCAGUCGGAUCCGUUUUCAACAUGAUCUCCUAGAAGUUUCCAUUGUUUGAGACAUUGACUGAGUGCUUCAUAUCUCUGGACCAUUUUCCUGAUGUAUUCCUGGAGCUUGGAUAUUUCAUCCCGGAUGGUGUCUUUGAUACUCACUAGUCCUCUGCCACCUUCUGUGCAAAUAGUGCAUCACCUGUGGAUACUGGAUUGAAGGUGGACUCCAAUAUGCACUGACAUAAAGGCGCCCAGAUGGGGAACCAACCUAUCAGUCACUUUUAGCAACAAAUGCACUAUGGAAAGGAAGGACCAGCUUAUGCAGUUCUACCUUUCAAGGUGAAAAGCAACUAUUUAUUUACUUAAACAUAUACUUAAAUAUAUAUAUCAUUCAGUCAUUUUAUUAUGCUCAUAACUGUGUGCAAAGGAAAAUUGAGGUUAAAAUACACAACACACUUGUCUAGUGAGUGUCUCUAAGCUCGGUAUGAGCCUGCAUGUAGCGACAGUGGAGAGGAAAAACUCCCCUUUAACAGGAAACCUGGCUUGGUAGGAGCGGCCAUCUGCCGCGACCGACUGAUUUGAGUAGACGGAGCGCACGCACACACACA
This is a non-coding RNA of Poecilia reticulata (guppy), 831 nucleotides long. The record is from RefSeq and is a predicted model, not a curated record. NCBI's taxonomy places the organism in Eukaryota, Metazoa, Chordata, Actinopteri, Cyprinodontiformes, Poeciliidae.